CUGGUGAGUCUGGAUGCUGAUGAUAUGUUAGUUCCCAUCAGCUCCAAGGCUGAUCAGUA
Molecule: microRNA precursor, 59 nt
Filed under: Branchiostoma floridae (Florida lancelet)
Lineage: Eukaryota; Metazoa; Chordata; Leptocardii; Amphioxiformes; Branchiostomatidae
Description: Bfl-Mir-4868-P3_pre stem-loop
Source: RNAcentral